Molecule: ribosomal RNA, 252 nt
Filed under: uncultured bacterium
Lineage: Bacteria
Description: partial 16S ribosomal RNA
Rfam family: Bacterial small subunit ribosomal RNA
Source: RNAcentral
UACAGAGGGGCAAGCGUUGUUCGGAAUUACUGGGCGUAAAGGGCGCGUAGGCGGCCUGUUAAGUCGAACGUGAAAUCCCCGGGCUCAACCCGGGAACUGCGUCCGAUACUGGCAGGCUUGAAUCCGGGAGAGGGAUGCGGAAUUCCAGGUGUAGCGGUGAAAUGCGUAGAUAUCUGGAGGAACACCGGUGGCGAAGGCGGCAUCCUGGACCGGCAUUGACGCUGAGGCGCGAAAGCCAGGGGAGCAAACGGG